Molecule: long non-coding RNA, 582 nt
Filed under: Brassica napus (rape)
Lineage: Eukaryota; Viridiplantae; Streptophyta; Magnoliopsida; Brassicales; Brassicaceae
Description: long non-coding RNA (BNAP_LNC012903)
Source: RNAcentral
AUUAUAAACAUAUAUCAUAUAUAUAUACACAAAUAUGUACGCCGGCUCAACCACCGGUACCGCCACCAGCUUCACCACCGACACCUCCUGAUACUACGCCAGAAGCGGCGACUCGAUUUGUUUCUGGAGCCACCGGUGGUGUUAUGGAUGAAGCAACGCUUCACGCCUCCUCUGCCGUCACGCUUCUUCUUAUCUUCAAUCUUCAAGCCGGCUCAUCUCACUAGUCACCGCCUCUGCUACCUCCUCCUCCAUCAAUCUCCUCUGCCUCCUCCACCUUCCUUUACCAAAAUAAAUAAACUCAGAUUCAACGCACAGAAGAGAGAAGGAGAGAGAGAGAGAGAGAGAGAGAGAGAGAGAGAGAGAGAGAGAGAGAGAGAGAGAGAGAGAGAGAGAGAGAGAGAGAGAGAGAGAGAGAGAGAGAGAGAGAGAGAGAGAGAGAGAGAGAGAGAGAGAGAGAGAGAGAGAGAGAGAGAGAGAGAGAGAGAGAGAGAGAGAGAGAGAGAGACGCUACUUGUGGUGGUGGUGAACAACGCGACGGUCGUUGUUAAACUUCGUGUUGUAGAUGGAGAAGAAGAAGGCUGU